This 377-nucleotide ribosomal RNA is filed under the name uncultured bacterium. Its description in RNAcentral is "bacterial SSU rRNA". It matches the Rfam family "Bacterial small subunit ribosomal RNA", at positions 28 to 404 of the family's 1533-position model. The record is from RNAcentral.
GACGAACGCUGGCGGCGUGCUUAACACAUGCAAGUCGAGCGGUAAGGCCCUUUCGGGGGUACGACGAGCGGCGAACGGGUGAGUAACACGUGGGUGACCUGCCCUCAGCUCUGGGAUAAACCUAGGGAAACCGGGUCUAAUACCGGAUAUGACUCCAUGACGCACGUUGUGGGGUGGAAAGCCUUGUGCGGCUGAGGAUGGGCCCGCGGCCUAUCAGUUUGUUGGUGGGGUGAUGGCCUACCAAGGCGACGACGGGUAGCCGGCCUGAGAGGGCGACCGGCCACACUGGGACUGAGACACGGCCCAGACUCCUACGGGAGGCAGCAGUGGGGAAUCUUGCGCAAUGGGCGAAAGCCUGACGCAGCGACGCCGCGUGA